GAACCGGCCGGACUCAGGAAAAUAUUGAUAAAACCUUUCCCUUCGGUAUUCUGUAUAUUUUAAUUCGUAAGUGUAAAUGAUAUUAUAUUUUUUUUAGUAGGUAUUGAAUAUAUUAAAUACUACGGUUACCCAUAGACGGUAUAUGUAUAUUAUAUAAAUUUCCUGAAGUCGCAUUUACGCUUUACUAUUUGUACGCCUUUAACAGGCACCAACGACUAUUAUUUUGGGUGUGGGAAAAAAUGUCAAAAUAUUGAAAAAAGACACAUACAUAAUUUGUGUUAAAAAAAGGUAAUAUUUUAAGUCCGAGCAUGUGUGAUUAUUAUAUAUAAACAUUACUUAUUAUUUUGUUAUGUUUAAAAACUGGAAGAAAAAUUAAUUUUUUUUUAUUCAUAUUUAGAUUGUCAAUUCAUUGUAAGAAAAGUUGAAGAAUAUGGUAUACUUACUCAUAGAUAGGUAACCUAUAAUAAAUGUAUCAAAACAAAAUAAUUAAAUUGUAAGACAUAAGUAAGUAAUUGUUUUGUUGUAUCAAUUUUAAAUUCUGAAUUAGUUUGGAAAUAAUUUUAUUCAUAUUAUGUACUUAAUUAGCUGAUCUGUUUAAUAUGAGUAAGUAAUUUAAUUUAAAUAAUGCUCUGUCAUAUUAAUGACUUAAUGGAAUGGUUUUAUGUAGUGAUUAAAAUAACUUGAGAACAUCUAAGAGGACCGUAGACUGAUGGUAGUCUUUCUUUUUUUAAAAGAGAUGUGUUUAUUACUAAACAUUUCUCUUCUCGGCAGUUAUUUUAGUAACAUCAUUACAUACAUCAAUCUUAACUGUUUGAUUUUUAAACUUUUGUAGAGCAAUUUUGGGAUUUAUUAGAAAAUCGGAAGCUGAAGAGAUGUUGACAAGAUAUGCAAUUGGCACAUUUUUAUUAAGAUUUUAAGAUUCAGAAAUAGACGGCCAACUGUUGCCUGUGCUGGAUGUAAGUUAUAUUUUAGAUAAAUGGGUUUUAAUAAUAAUUUAGUUCUAUUUAUUUUUACCAGCUAAUAAGGUUGGUAUAUAUAGUUUGCAUCCAUUCUCAGCCAAAGAUUUAUCAAUUCGGAACUUGGCUGAUAGAUUAUUAGAUUUACCAUAUCUAACAAUGGUGUAUCCUAGUAUUGACAAAAACCAAGCUUUUGAAAAAUACUACACGGACCCUCUGAGUAUUUAUAUAAUUUUUAUCUUUAAUAUUAGUUUUAUUUGUUUCAUGCACAUAUUAUGUAAUAUGUUUAUACUAUAAACUUGUAUUCAUUAUAAUUGGAGACCGG
This is a non-coding RNA of Cinara cedri, 1281 nucleotides long. The record is from the annotation of a GenBank genome assembly. NCBI's taxonomy places the organism in Eukaryota, Metazoa, Arthropoda, Insecta, Hemiptera, Aphididae.